GCCUGGCUGGCUCAGUCAGAAGAGCGUACGACUCUUGAUCUUAGGGUCAUGGAUUCAAGCCCCAUGUUAGGUG
RNAcentral lists this transfer RNA (73 nucleotides) under Canis lupus familiaris (dog). It matches the Rfam family "tRNA". From Rfam's summary of the family: Transfer RNA (tRNA) molecules are approximately 80 nucleotides in length. The record is from Rfam by way of RNAcentral. Lineage: Eukaryota; Metazoa; Chordata; Mammalia; Carnivora; Canidae. RNAcentral also lists the same sequence under 2 other names.